Molecule: long non-coding RNA, 227 nt
Filed under: Elaeis guineensis (African oil palm)
Lineage: Eukaryota; Viridiplantae; Streptophyta; Magnoliopsida; Arecales; Arecaceae
Description: long non-coding RNA (EGUI_LNC064004)
Source: RNAcentral
CCAACUCUUGCUGAGUGUUGCCAUCCACUAUUCCCCAACCUCCAAUGUCCCAAUCCCAAGUUCUUCAAUCCGACUAUUCUCCAACCUCCAAUGCCCUAUCCCCAAGUUCUUCAACCCACCCGUCGCCGGCUCUUUGUCAACUUGCACCCACUAUCGGCUUUGAUUGACUGGAUCCCACUGCCUCCAUCUGCCGUCAGCUGUUCCAGAUCCCAACCCCCACUCGAUAG